RNAcentral lists this microRNA precursor (226 nucleotides) under Glycine max (soybean). Its description in RNAcentral is "miR9754 stem-loop (gma-MIR9754)". The record is from miRBase by way of RNAcentral. Lineage: Eukaryota; Viridiplantae; Streptophyta; Magnoliopsida; Fabales; Fabaceae.
UUUCUAUACUUUCGGUCAAACGUGGUCAAGUUCCCUUUACUUUCAUAUUGAUGAAUUGGGUCCCCAAACUUUAAAAUACAUGUGGAUUUAGUCUCCCCGAACUCUAAAAAUACGAUGAAUUCUUAGAAAUGAGGGACUAAAUCCCAUGUUCUUUAAAGUUUGAGGGCCAAAUUCAUUGUAUGAAAGUGUUGGGACCUUGACCACAUUAGACUGAAAGUACAGAGUC